This 465-nucleotide ribosomal RNA is filed under the name uncultured bacterium. RNAcentral describes it as "partial 16S ribosomal RNA". It matches the Rfam family "Bacterial small subunit ribosomal RNA", at positions 28 to 507 of the family's 1533-position model. The record is from RNAcentral.
GAUGAACGCUGGCGGCGUGCUUAACACAUGCAAGUCGAACGGAAAGGCUCCUGCUUGCAGGGGUACUCGAGUGGCGAACGGGUGAGUAACACGUGGGUGACCUGCCCUGCACUUCGGGAUAAGCCUGGGAAACUGGGUCUAAUACCGGAUAGGACGCGGGCUUGGAUGCAAUUGUGGAAAGUUUUUCGGUGUGGGAUGGGCUCGCGGCCUAUCAGCUUGUUGGUGGGGUAAUGGCCUACCAAGGCGUCGACGGGUAGCCGGCCUUGGAGGGUGGACGGCCACAUUGGGACUGCGAGACGGCCCAGUCUCCUAUGGUGGGCAGCAGUGGGGAAUAUGACACAAUGGGCGCAAGCCUGAUGCAGCGACGCCGCGUGGGGGAUGACGGCCUUCGGGGUGUAAACUCCUUUCGCUAGGGACGAAGCGCAAGUGACGGUACCUGGAGAAGAAGCACCGGCUAACUACGUG